GGAUAUAAGGGUGAUCCGGCUGCAACAUCUGUCACACUAUUGAUCGCUAGGGUUGAUUCGGUUGAUCUGGUUGGCUAGGCGGGCAUCCCCUUCCUCCCUCAGUGCUGCAUGUGCGUCCCUCCCGAGUCUGUGCGCUCAAGGACAACCACCCUUGAUAGAGGAGGACCAUUCCUUGGUCAAGGGUAUGCUGGUAGCUGUGCUGCCCUGCUAUAACCUCCAAACAAGCUUUCAAGAUGUGUUUUGUAUAUGAACCAUCUCCAUUCAUGGAAGGUGAACAUUUGUAUUGCAAAUAUGUACAAAAUA
RNAcentral lists this small nuclear RNA (303 nucleotides) under Chinchilla lanigera (long-tailed chinchilla). Its description in RNAcentral is "7SK RNA (ENSCLAG00000021890.1)". It matches the Rfam family "7SK RNA". Rfam says of the family: 7SK was discovered as an abundant small nuclear RNA in the mid-70s but a possible function has only recently been suggested. Two independent studies have found that 7SK RNA binds the CDK9/cyclin T complex (known as elongation factor P-TEFb). P-TEFb activates transcription by phosphorylating the C-terminal domain of RNA polymerase II. The record is from Rfam by way of RNAcentral. Lineage: Eukaryota; Metazoa; Chordata; Mammalia; Rodentia; Chinchillidae.